Molecule: long non-coding RNA, 908 nt
Filed under: Marmota monax (woodchuck)
Lineage: Eukaryota; Metazoa; Chordata; Mammalia; Rodentia; Sciuridae
Source: RNAcentral
AUGCCUUUCAGGCCUACUUUGCAAACUAUGCUGAUAAAGAUAAGGCUGCGAACUUGCCCACAUAACAUGGCCUGCCAAUCAGUCUCACAGUGUAAUUUAAUUCUAAUAUACCUCCUGAUCUUUGGUGCAUUUAAAAAUAACUUGUUAAUAGUCUUCCUAUUCUAAUUUAGCUAAAAUUGCACACACUGAAAUGCUUGCUCUUUUGCAUGCUCUCUCUCUCUUUCUUUCUCUCUCUCUCUCUCUCUACACACACACACACACACACACAAAAUGAUCCUUAAAAAUCAUUUCUGUAUGGCACCUAUGCAGCACAGUGCUUCUGAAAUUGUCUCCAAGUUCUUCCCUUAACCUGUUCCCAUAAUGGAAAACCACAGAACACAACAACUGUAGCCCUGGAAUCUUAGGGUCAUCAAAAUAUUCAUAAUGAAGUCUAAAUAUUGAUAACAAAGUGAAUAAAAUAGAAACUCCUGGAGCUAGAUGCCAUUAGUUCAGAUCCCAGUUCUGCCGCUUAUUGUGUAACUUUGGGCAAAUCUCCCAACUAUUUCCAUUUCUUGGUUCCUUAAUGUAUACAAUGCUGACCAUGAUAGGCCCUACCUAGAGAUGUUGUGAGAACUAAACAAGAUGCCUUUUUAAAAGUGGUUAGAACAAAAGCAUUAGUUGUUAUUAUUAUUAUUAUUAUUAUUAUUAUUAUUAUUACAUUCCUUAAAAUGAAGUUGUGCUGAUGGAAUAUUUGAAGGAUGUAUUUUUCCCCAAAUCUUGGAGUUAAAUCAACUUCUUUGAGGGGGCUAUUUAAUGCAGGUAAGUAGCAUGGCUGAGAGGUAAACAAGGGGCCUGUGAGACAGGAAGCCUUAGCUAUUAGUCUGGCUCCACCGCCCUGCUCAACAGAGGUUUGGCCCAUCUGAAAAAUC